CAGAGUUGAAGCUCCUCUCCCUACCGAACAGCUCCGCGCACCGCCCCGCGACACAGCCCGGCGCAACUACUUUCUUCUCUCUCCUUUCUUUCUUCCUCUCCUUUUUCCCCUGCUGGGUAGUGGCUGCGGCGGGGUGGGGGAGACUUUGAAUGACCGAGCUCGCGUCCACCUUUCUCUUCAUGUCGACGUCCCUGGAAACGGCCACACGGAUGCCAUGGUUACUUUUGCCACGACAGGGAGUUUCAUGGUUGCCACUACCUGAGAGGUGCUGAAGUGAAUGAGGUGGAGGACGCAGAGCUAGCAGGGAAGAAGGUGCCGUGGAAACCCACACAGCUUUAUUCAUCCAAGAAGAGCCUGGGGACCAUGGCCGACUUCAGAGCCAGGGCCUGUAUUUUCUUUGGGAAAAGAAGGCAGAGUUGAUUGGCUUCCAAAACCAGGCUUGGCAAAAGCCCAUGCAGGCUCUCCAGCCAGUAAGCGCUGCCUUGGGUAGGUCUAUAUCGUAGCCGGCGUUCAUUCAGUAAAUUGACAUCGAAACUCCGCAGCGUGUCCAGCCCUGUGCUGGGCGUUGUGUGGAUGGAUGUGUGGAUGGAAAGGACACGGUCCCUGUCGUCCAAGAGGAGACACACCAACAAUAAUAGCACAAUAUGACAAUUGUUUAAAUGAAGUUCUCUGCAGAUGACAGUGACCCCUAGAGAAAGAGCAUAGACAUCCCCCUAAAUAGAAGAACUCACUGCUGUGCCUUGCCUGGGUGGAGCUAGCACUGCCUUCCUGUUUCCAUUCCCCACUCCAGAGAACUGGCCCACUGGGGGACUCCCACCCCAGACAUGGAGUGAAAAAUGAAGGUACUCGUGGCCAAAAAGUGACCAGAGAUCAGAAUGCAUCUCUUCUUGCCCCCAGCGUAUUCAGAAAUGCCACCUCUCCCUUGCCCAUGUUUGCUUUCAUCAUUUGUCUGUUCUCUGGGCUUCCAGUUCAUAAUAUUCCUUUCUUCUCCCGCAACCGGCGUAAGUGGUCUGAGAUCCAAGCACUCGGGCACUGUGGCAUCUGGGGGAAAGCCAUGUUGGGACCGUGUUGGUACAGAUUGCUGUGAGCCAGAUGUAGAGAAGGGAGCUCUCCAGACGCUGGGUCCCUCGCCCGUGUGCAUCAAGGGCAGAGAGGUGCACCAUCUCCCGUGGCCACAGGCCAUUCAGGUUCAUGUUCUCUAACAUUUCUAGUGUGCUCACUCUGUCCCUGAUACUACGCUGGGUGCUUCCAUGUGGAUUUCUUUGUUUACCCUUCACAAUAACUUUGAUGGUGCACAAGCCAUGUGACUUUUGUUGAACCUACGAACCAAAUGCCCCCGUCACUCUCUGCCAUUGUUUAGCAGUCCUUAGACAGCUCACUUCGCCACCAGUGUUCCCUUAUCUGUAUAAAUGAGGGGAUUGUCUAGGGUCCUUCCCAGCUGCAAACCUCUGUGUUUUGGGGAGUUCUGUGGCAACAUUCUUGGACUUGCUCUCUACGAAAAAAGCUAAAAGUAGAUUCUUGAAAUGGAGUCUACAGGAAGUCUUCAGGGCUUUAAGACAGGCUUCUAAAGAGUUUAGAAACACCAACCUGCAGAUGACUUACUCCCACUACUUAUUACAAAGUAUCAUGGCAAGUAAGAAAGAAAUGGUCAGCCACUGGGAGAGCAGGCUAGGGUUGCAAGGAGGUGGCAGGUGCUGCUGUUGGGAUCUUGGGGGAGCAUUGUAGAAAAGUCAGCUUUGGAACCAGGCACUGAAAAAUGGGUGAAAUUUCAACAGGAGAGGCAGUGCACGUGGGUCGUGAUUCAAGCAGCAGUGAGUAGUGAAUGGGGUUGGAGCAAGGGGCCCGUGAGCUCAAUGAUCACAUGGAAAAGGGAGGUGAGGGCCGGAGUGCAGAGAACCCCUCUCACUUUCCUGUGGGUUUCUCCUCUUCUUUAAACUGCAUUUAGGUUUUCCUCAUCUAUAAGAUGAAGGAAUAAGAUUAGAUGUCCUCUUUAUAUGGCUUGUCUACUUCUAAUAAACUUUGGUUCCCUAUUCCAGCCACCACCCAUAAAGACUCUUACUUUUUCCUCCUCAAUCCAUCAGCAUCAGCCAGCAUUCUCCCUCUCAGCUCACCCUGGUCAUUACCUCACUAAUCUGUACCUUGACUCCUAUUCUACCCGGGACCUCCCCUCACUAACCAUACUUGAUUUAUUUCCUUAAGAGCAGAUACCCUGUGUAUUCUUAGCUUACGGUGGCUGAGCUUUUGGGAGGUUUAAUAAAUUGUUUUUCAAUAGACUGUCAGUCCUAAAUGAUUUUAUUGCAGCUGUAUUGUUCUUUUUGGGGGGAGUAGGGAAGGUAAUCCUAGUUGUAUGCCAUAUUCUUUGUAUUGUUCAAGUUGCAUUUUGUUGGGCCUGUAAUAUUGAAGAUAAUGUCACUUGUAUGCAGAGUAGGAGGGAGAUUCCUUACACUGUAGAGGAACCGUUUUCCUAGGAUAGUACAAUUCCUGAGAGUCAUUUUCCUCUAAGGGUGAGCAGCAAAGCUAGAAUCCCUCUCUUGGCUUUGACCUUGAAGGGGUCAGCUGUUCCCAAGACUAGUUCCCAUGGAAAGAAGAUGGUCUCCUUAUCACAGUGACAAGAGGAGGCAGUAUGAGCAGAGUGCGUCACUGUUGCUGACCUCUAGGGACAAGCGAGCCAGCCGUAUUUCAGACAAGCUGGGAAGAGGCUCUCUGUGGGUCCUGGGAGCGAGGGAGCACUGGCGGGCUCAGACAUAGGUGUUGGUUAGCAGGACUGCUCUUCUGUUUCUUGUGUCGGCUUUGUUUAUUUCCUCCCUAUUUUCCCCCUGGACUUUCCGAAAAUACCAAAGGUGAACCAGGGGAAGAGUUUUCAUUUUCCAUGUUUAGACAGAACUUUAAAUAGGAAAUGAUGUACACCCUGGGAGGCGGUGAGGUGGUGGCGAUGGUAAUUAAGGGGUGAUUAUCUCAAGGAGGUGGAGGAAUCAGGGGCAUCACUAGCUCAGCUGCCCCUCUCCACCUGGAGCAUCUCCUUCCAGUGCUAACCCUCGGAAGAUCUGGGCUUUCUUUGCUCUAGUGAGGGAGAGACCAGCAAUGAAGGUAUCUUGAGAUCAGCACUGUAAUUCCACCAGGACUCCUCAGGAGCCCGGUGUUAACCUUCUACUAUGGCAACAGAAUGAGGGCGCCGAUGGGUUGAAAUGCCGUUUAAACAAGGAAAUAGUAGAAUUAGAAGGAGCAUAACCACUAACAGGAACAUUUUGUAGCAGAAAUGUUAAAAAUCUAAAGGAGGAAAGUGAAUCAACAAUGACUCUUCUGUUCUGGGCAAGUCCAGCCCAUUUAUGUGAGGUGGUUAUUCUGCAUCUCUGUCUCCUGCAAGUCGCGCUGUGGCAGGGCUCUGUUUUGCAGAGAGGGUCCCUGGGGAUGGAGCAGAUCGGUUGGUGAUGUGUGUCUGUCAGAAAGCUCGGCAGAGCACCCUGGAACGCAGGCCCUCUCGCACAGUGGGUAGUGACCCUACAUGUUCAUUUCCAAGGGCAGGAGAACAGACCGCUCCGGCUGCGACCUGGCCAGGAAUGACCCCACAUCUGACAUUGCAGUAUGGGGGGCCACUGAACCAGUCCUCAGCCUCAGUGUGUUCCUGGGGCUGCAGCUAGGGAGCAGUCGAACUCUUUCUUGAGACAAUUACAAGGCCACCGCUGCUGCUGCUGCUGAAGGGAAGUUACUCCAUGCUUACAAUUCUCAGGUUUGAAGUUUUCAUGCUUUGCCAGACUAGAGUGAAUCAUGCAUCUUUGCAGGCUCAAGGGAUGUUUAAAGAAGCGGUAGGACAUCAUCCACCCACAAGUCGAGGCUGCAGGAUAAAGCAGACAUCCAAUGUAAAUACAACCCGUGCAAAAAGCAGAGUCAGCAGACCUGGAGUGCAUUCUGCAGUAUUUCCUGGGGGUGGGGGAAAGAAAUUGCCUCUUCAGAAUGUCCAGAGGGGAGUUGCGUUGCUUACCUGGGGGGCGGGAUCCUCUCUCGGGCCCCACAGGGAUACUCAGCCUUAGGUAGCUGGUGCCAGAAUAACACAGACUCAGCUGCCACGGCCUGCUCUUAACACCUGUGUUUC
Non-coding RNA from Macaca mulatta (Rhesus monkey), 4090 nucleotides. NCBI's taxonomy places the organism in Eukaryota, Metazoa, Chordata, Mammalia, Primates, Cercopithecidae. The record is from RefSeq and is a predicted model, not a curated record.